GCAGCAUUAACAGGAGUGAGCAACAGCUGCAGCAGUCGGUGCCUGAGGAAACUGCACGGGAAACAAAGCAAAUGUGUGCAUAACCCUCCUUGGGGCAUUCAGACACAACACAAAACGUGGACAAAAGAGGUAACGCAGCAACACCAACAUAUUGUUCACUUGGUUUAUUUUGUACAUCUGCUUCAUAAAUUACUUGCAUGAGGCCAAGAUCAGCUGUGGAAGGGAUCAGAAGAGCACGAGGCAGGCUGUGUGUGAAGCACGAUGUUCACAACCAAGUGGUCACAACUGUCCGUGGCAGAAUUAGGGACACCACAGCCUCUUGUAGAAUCUGCACUGAGCAUUUCAAGUUCACCUCAAAGCAGGCUUCUCAGCAGAAGGCUCCAGAACACUCAAUCCAGCAGUACAUCUCCGUCAGAGGGCAGCUCAGUCUUCAGCCUUAUACUUCCCACCGAUGUAGGGGACGUACUGAAGGACGAGUUUCCAGUCUGUGAUCCAUACCAAACCGGUGCCACCUACGGCUCCCCACGUAACGAGGGUGGGAGUCCAGUUCUGCAGGAGCUGAACGUACCGCGGCCCCACCAGCUUGCUCAGCAUCGCGCCGCCUCAAAGUC
This 611-nucleotide long non-coding RNA is filed under the name Gallus gallus (chicken). The record is from RNAcentral. Lineage: Eukaryota; Metazoa; Chordata; Aves; Galliformes; Phasianidae.